GAUGAAGAACGGAGCGAAAUGCGAUACGUAAUGUGAAUUGCAGAAUUCAGUGAAUCAUCGAAUCUUUGAACGCAUAUUGCGCUCUCUGGUAUUCCGGAGAGCAUGCUUGUUUGAGUAUCAGUAAACACCUCAACUUCCAUAUCUUUUUUGAAAUGGGAGUUGGACUUGAGUGAUCCCAACGCUUUUCCUCACCGAAAAGUGGCGGGUUACUUGAAAUGCAGGUGCAGCUGGACUUUUCUCUGAGCUAUAAGCAUAUCUAUUUAGUCUGCCUGAAAAGCAGAUUAUUACCUUUGCUGCAGCUAACAUAAAGGAGAUUAGUUCUUGUGCUGACUGAUGCAGGAUUCACAAAGACGGCUUCGGCCGACUUUGUAAACUCGAUCUCAAAUCAAGUAAGACUACCCGCUGAACUUAAGCAUAUCAAUAAGCGGAGGA
This 432-nucleotide unclassified non-coding RNA is filed under the name soil metagenome. Its description in RNAcentral is "partial contains 5.8S ribosomal RNA, internal transcribed spacer 2, and large subunit ribosomal RNA". The stretch from base 1 to 120 matches the Rfam family "5.8S ribosomal RNA", at positions 35 to 154 of the family's 154-position model. The record is from RNAcentral.